GGGCGGGUAGCUCAGCUGGAUAGAGUGUCGGCCUACGAAGCCGAAGGCCGCGGGUUCGAAUCCCGCCUCGCCC
RNAcentral lists this transfer RNA (73 nucleotides) under Desulfobulbaceae bacterium. RNAcentral describes it as "tRNA-Arg". It matches the Rfam family "tRNA". From Rfam's summary of the family: Transfer RNA (tRNA) molecules are approximately 80 nucleotides in length. Their secondary structure includes four short double-helical elements and three loops (D, anti-codon, and T loops). The record is from RNAcentral. Lineage: Bacteria; Pseudomonadati; Thermodesulfobacteriota; Desulfobulbia; Desulfobulbales; Desulfobulbaceae.